This 76-nucleotide transfer RNA is filed under the name Candidatus Doudnabacteria bacterium RIFCSPHIGHO2_02_FULL_48_21. Its description in RNAcentral is "tRNA-Phe". It matches the Rfam family "tRNA". Rfam says of the family: Transfer RNA (tRNA) molecules are approximately 80 nucleotides in length. Their secondary structure includes four short double-helical elements and three loops (D, anti-codon, and T loops). Further hydrogen bonds mediate the characteristic L-shaped molecular structure. tRNAs have two regions of fundamental functional importance: the anti-codon, which is responsible for specific mRNA codon recognition, and the 3' end, to which the tRNAs corresponding amino acid is attached (by aminoacyl-tRNA synthetases). tRNAs cope with the degeneracy of the genetic code in two manners: having more than one tRNA (with a specific anti-codon) for a particular amino acid; and 'wobble' base-pairing, i.e. permitting non-standard base-pairing at the 3rd anti-codon position. The record is from RNAcentral. Lineage: Bacteria; Candidatus Doudnaibacteriota. RNAcentral also lists the same sequence under 1 other name.
GCCGGACUAGCUCAGUGGUUAGAGCGCUGCCCUGAAGAGGCAGGCGUGCCCAGUUCGAUUCUGGGGUCCGGCACCA